Molecule: RNA transcript, 4511 nt
Organism: Gasterosteus aculeatus aculeatus (three-spined stickleback)
Lineage: Eukaryota; Metazoa; Chordata; Actinopteri; Perciformes; Gasterosteidae
Gene: usp54b
Gene name: ubiquitin specific peptidase 54b
Source: RefSeq, a predicted model, not a curated record
GCGGCAUCGGGCUGAGCAAACCGACCGAGGACAAUGAUGAAAUAAAAACGCUACGUCACACACUCCGGCAGGAGGAGAGCUGGAAGAUGGGCACGGUAUCGCGAGAGCGGCGCGCGCGACCGCAGCGGCGCUGGAUGGCGCAGGUGGGGGCUGCUCGCGCCCACGGCUCGCCCUCUCUCUCACGUUAAAAUCACACGGUAGGACACGCGAGCAGGACCGGCACCGACGGCACCCGAGGGUGAGUAACGAAACAAAGGGAAGAGGGGAAAAAAAUCUGCACACUGCGCACCGCAAGAGAGGCUGGGAGGGGACGUGCACGUGACCGGGCAGAACACACCACUAGUAAAGUGAACAAGGCAUUGAAGGGCGACCCACAACAUUUAUCUGUCAGGAUCUGACCGCUCGGACAAACUCUCAUGUCCUCAAACACAAACUGCUAAAUCCAAGGAGCUAAAAAGAAGAAAAAGCCUGCCACCCGGCUCCAGAGGGUGGGAAGUAUCUGAAGUGAAAACACGUCUGGAGAGGGGAGGGUUGCAUGGGUGCCAGAUCCCCAUCCGACACACAACGCAUCUCCUCCACCACCUACAGCCGCGGCCUCCCUACUCUUCCUCCCUCUUCGUCCUCCCUCCUCUUUCUCCUCCUCCUCUGUUUUCCUCCUGUUCUCCCUCGUCCUCUCUCAUGGGAGUGACAUAGAGCCCUUGGCUUGGUCUGCUGCCCCUUCCCCCCCCGCCUCGCCGUGGAAACGGGGGGGCCCAGGUAGUGAUGUCGUGGAAGCGGAACUACUUUGCGUCGGGUGGCGGAGCAGUAGGCGGGGCGCAGGGGCUGGUGACCCCGAGAACCAUGACCUCCAUCGCACCGAGCAAAGGCCUAAGCAACGAGCCGGGACAGAACAGCUGCUUCCUCAACAGCGCUCUGCAGGUCCUGUGGCAUCUCGACAUCUUUCGCAGAAGCUUUCGCCAGCUGACCACACACAAGUGCAUGGAGGACUCGUGCAUCUUCUGCGCUCUGAAGAGUAUCUUUGCUCAGUUCCAGUUCAGCAGUGAGCGCGUGCUGCCAUCAGACGCACUGCGCAGCGCUCUGGCCAAGACUUUCCAAGACGAACAGCGCUUCCAGCUCGGUAUCAUGGACGACGCCGCUGAGUGCUUCGAGAAUCUCCUGAUGCGUAUCCACUUCCACAUCAGCGCGGAGAGUAGAGAGGACAUCUGCACCGCCAAGCACUGCAUCCCACACCAGAAGUUUGCCAUGACUCUGUUCGAACAGUGUGUGUGCAACAGCUGUGGCGCCACGUCGGACCCCCUGCCCUUCAUUCAGAUGGUUCAUUACAUCUCCACUACGUCCCUCUGUAACCAGGCAGUGAGGAUGCUGGAGUGCAGAGAGAAACCCACACCGGACAUGUUCGGAGAACUGCUCCGCAACGCCAGCAACAUGGGAGACCUGCGCAACUGCCCUAGUAACUGUGGGGAGGUGUUGCGCAUCCGCCGGGUGCUGAUGAACUCGCCGGAGAUCGUGUCCAUCGGGCUGGUGUGGGACUCGGACCACUCCGACCUGGCGGAGGACGUCAUACACAGCCUGGGGACCUGCCUGCGUCUGGGAGAUUUGUUCUACCGCGUGACAGAGGAGAGGGCUCGCCAGGCGGAGCUCUACUUGGUGGGCAUGGUGUGCUACUACGGCAAGCACUACUCCACCUUCUUCUUCCAGACCAAGAUACGCAAGUGGAUGUACUUCGACGACGCCCACGUCAAAGAGAUCGGGCCCAAGUGGAAGGACGUGGUGUCCCGCUGUAUCAAAGGCCACUAUCAGCCCCUGCUGCUGCUCUACGCUGACCCCCGUGGGACGCCGGUGAUACUGCAGGAGAGCCCCAACCCCUGUACCAGCUCCAACCCACAACUGGAGCUCCAGCACGCCAGCAGCAAGGCCGGUUACGACAGCGAAGACUCUGGCCGGGAGCCGUCCAUAUCCAGCGAUACCCGCACCGACUCGUCGACGGAGAGCUCGGGUCACCGAGCCUCCCGCAGCCGAUCCCUGCAUCAGUCGACGGGCAGCCACCUCUCCAGCGAGUCCCAGACCACCGUGGUCUGCAACCACGACAUCGUCGCGCCGCCGCACGGGGCUGACGCUGGAGAGUCAGCAGUGGAGGGUCCUCCCCGCCCUCCCUCUCCUCCUCUGCAGGAGUACAAGGAGACGGCCGUCUUCCUCCUCUCCUCCCGCCGGCCACUCACCUCCUCCUCCUCCUCCUCUCGCCCCCUGUCCUCCUCGUCUUCGUCAGGGGUUGGGGGCUGUGAGGGCGGGGCCGGGGGGCCUCAGUGGGAGGAUGAAAGCACCAGCAGUGAGAGCAAGUCCAGUUCCUCUGGAGGUCGCUACAGGCCAACCUGGAGGCCCAGAAGAGAGGCCCUGAACAUCGACAGCAUCUUCACCCAACCGAGAGGCUCCUCUCUGGGCUACAACACCCUGCCUGCUCCCUCCCUCCCUCCGGAGACCCAGGAAACCGUUGCCUCGGCGGGACCCGCUCCGCCUUCAGAGCCAGGGCUGCAGGAGGUGGAAGCGAGGGAGGCUGGGGAGUUGGAGGCGGGGUUUGGGCCGGUCGGACAGCCCAGGUCUCUGGGCAGCGGGCGGACAAUGGGUCCCCCUGCCCCUCCACCUCUGAGAGGGGUGGAGCACCAGCCACGUCUGAUUCAGAGGAUGGAAAGUGGCUACGAGAGCAGUGAGCGGAACAGCAGCAGCCCCGACCGGGAGGUGGGCCAACAGAAACGGGUGCUGAUGUCAGGACCUUCAUGGCGCUCGGUGCCCAAGUCAAAGAGCAGCGGUGCCAUCCUGCAGGAGCUGCCCUCACCCAGCUGGGGCGGCGGCUCCAACACCGCCACCGGCGGACCAGGGCGCAGUGAGCUGGACGAGCUGCAGGAGGAGGUGGCGAGGAGAGCCCGCCAGCAAGAGCAGCAGAAGCGGAGGGAGGCAGAGCGGGAGGCUGCCAUGGGAUUCAACCCCAAACCCAGCAAAUACAUGGACCUGGACCAGCUCCAACACCAGGCUGUGCUCAGACCCCUGCAUGAGGCUAACGCUCAUAGCGGAUUGGUUGUAGCUGCGUGCAUGAGGAGCACUGGGGGCCCAAUCAAACGCAGGCAGGAACAGGAAACGGAACGGGAGACAGGAAGCACCCGCCCACAGGGGCCUCGCAGUGAACAGCCUGGCCCGGUCCAAGUACUGCUGACGCCCAAUCAGGAGGAGGAAGAGGACCAGGCGACGGCCAAUCAGGACGCUGCUCUGGGCCCGGACCCGCCCCCUCCACCUUAUCGACCUGCUCCCCCUCGACUCCCGCUCACCCUCAGCAUCCCUCACCCUUGCGCCCCUUCCGGCCAAGGGGAGGAGGAAGAGGGUGGGCUCGUGGGGAGGAGGGGGGAGCAAGGCCAGGGCGGCAGUGAGGGGACGGGGGUGAGGCUGUGCGAGUUGCUGCAGGCAGGGGGGGUGAGGGUCAGACCCCUGGGGAAGCACUUAGCCAUCUCUCUGCCCUCGCUUCCUCUGCGUCUCUGGGACACACACACCACACACAGCGCGCACUCCGCACACCUUCAACCCACGCGCACACACCCUCCCCCUCCGCCCUCUCCUCCUCCCCCCUCCUCCCCGCUGCAAGCCUCUGGGCAGAGGAAACCUCUCACGCCUCUCUGGCAGCCGCCCCAGGCCCAUUCCACCGGCAGCGACGCUCCGCACUGGCCGAGGCACCAGGCCGCCGGCGACAGCGGCGCGCGUCAUUGGUCCUCCUGGAGUUUGGACCGCCCCGACGCCGUGGUGACGCCGUACGACACGCCCCCGGACCGAUGUGUCCCCAUCAGGCCGCAGACUUCCGGUCAGCGCCGCAGCCGCGGUUGCCAGUCCUCUCCGGGGCACUGCAGCUCCCAGCAUGCCCCGGGGCGAGAGGGCGAUCCCUGCUGUGACUGCGAAGAGGCCGAGCUGUCCGAGCUUGACUCCCUUUACCAGUCCAGUCUGCUGGCUGGAAAGACAGGCUGCAGCCCAUCAGAGAGGCUCAUAUCGAGGAGGGUGGUGGGCCAGAUUCGCUCCAGGACCCCCAACGCAGACAUGGAAAGGAGUGUGUACGGGGCGGACUGCACCCCCACCUACCUCAACAAGCCUCCGAUCGUGCGGGAUCCGCGCUGCGGGGGGGAGCCUGACGACGCGGGAAACCCGAGGCGGAUCGGACGCAGUCUGAGCGGCACGGCGGUGACCUCGCGCCGCAGCCGCCUGACUGCGACGCGUAGCUUCGUGAAGCAGGCAGACGUCAGUGCCUCUCCUUGCUUACUUCCUCUCUUCUGAGUCCCUGUUGCCAUUGCACCACUGUCAUCUCCUCCAUCCUCCUCAUCACCAACACCUUCUCAUCACCACCUCCCUCCACCGCUUCACAGGAGCUGCCGGGCGGCGCGGGGAGUUUCUGGCUGUGUCUGACGGGCGUCAAGCUGUCCUCCGACCAGUGUCCCCCUCUGCUCCACUGACGUCUCCUCCUGGACGGGCCUCGCCUUCGC